GAUGAACGCUGGCGGCGUGCCUAAUACAUGCAAGUCGAGCGAACAGACGAGGAGCUUGCUCCUCUGACGUUAGCGGCGGACGGGUGAGUAACACGUGGAUAACCUACCUAUAAGACUGGGAUAACUUCGGGAAACCGGAGCUAAUACCGGAUAAUAUAUUGAACCGCAUGGUUCAAUAGUGAAAGACGGUUUUGCUGUCACUUAUAGAUGGAUCCGCGCCGCAUUAGCUAGUUGGUAAGGUAACGGCUUACCAAGGCAACGAUGCGUAGCCGACCUGAGAGGGUGAUAGGUCACACUGGAACUGGGACACGGUCCAGACUCCUACGGGAGGCAGCAGUAGGGAACCUUCCGCAAUGGGCGAAAGCCUGACGGAGCAACGCCGCGUGAGUGAUGAAGGUCUUCGGAUCGUAAAACUCUGUUAUUAGGGAAGAACAAAUGUGUAAGUAACUAUGCACGUCUUGACGGUACCUAAUCAGAAAGCCACGGCUAACUACGUG
This 497-nucleotide ribosomal RNA is filed under the name uncultured bacterium. RNAcentral describes it as "partial 16S ribosomal RNA". It matches the Rfam family "Bacterial small subunit ribosomal RNA", at positions 28 to 507 of the family's 1533-position model. The record is from RNAcentral.